UACGUAGGGUCCGAGCGUUGUCCGGAAUUAUUGGGCGUAAAGGGCUCGUAGGCGGUUUGUCGCGUCGGGAGUGAAAACACGGGGCUUAACCCCGUGCCUGCUUCCGAUACGGGCAGACUAGAGGUAUGCAGGGGAGAACGGAAUUCCUGGUGUAGCGGUGGAAUGCGCAGAUAUCAGGAGGAACACCGGUGGCGAAGGCGGGUCUCUGGGCCGAUACUGACGCUGAGGAGCGAAAGCGUGGGGAGCGAACAGG
This 253-nucleotide ribosomal RNA is filed under the name uncultured bacterium. Its description in RNAcentral is "partial 16S ribosomal RNA". It matches the Rfam family "Bacterial small subunit ribosomal RNA", at positions 524 to 776 of the family's 1533-position model. The record is from RNAcentral.